AACCAACAGGGAUUCCCUUAGUAACGGCGAGUGAACCGGGAAAAGCUCAAAUUUGAAAUCUGCCAACAGGCCGAGUUGUAAUUUGUAGAUGGCUACACUGCAUAAUAGUAGAUGCUCAAGUUCUUUGGAAAAAGACAUCAUGGAGGGUGACAAUCCCGUGAGGCAUGUUACUAGGAGCAUAUAGUGGGCUUUCUAAGAGUCGAGUUGUUUGGGAAUGCAGCUCAAAGUGCGUGGUGAAUACCAUGUAAAGCUAAAUAUGGACGAGAGACCGAUAGCGAACAAGUACUGUGAAGGAAAGAUGAAAAGCACUCCGAAAGGAGAGUGAAAUAGUACGUGAAAUUGUUAAAGUGGAAGGGCUUGAGAUCAGAAUUGGUAGUUUGGGUUCCACGUCCUCUUGGGGGCGUGUACUCCCUUUCCACCGGGCCAGCGGGAGUUUCGUCUCUUGGGUAAAAGCAGUGGAAUGUAGCAGCUUGUCUGUAUUAUAGCCUCUGUUCAUACAAGACGUCGAGACUUGAUUUGUUGGCGUAAUGAUCUCUAGCCACCCGUCUUGAAACACGGACCUCCUGUGU
RNAcentral lists this ribosomal RNA (569 nucleotides) under Wickerhamiella pararugosa. RNAcentral's name for it is "eukaryotic LSU rRNA". It matches the Rfam family "Eukaryotic large subunit ribosomal RNA", at positions 63 to 664 of the family's 3401-position model. The record is from RNAcentral. Lineage: Eukaryota; Fungi; Ascomycota; Dipodascomycetes; Dipodascales; Trichomonascaceae.